AAAACAAGUAAUGUAUGUUACCAUCAGGCCACUAACCAUUUUAAAUUUGGUAUCUAGUCCAGACUCAAACCCCAGUCUCUAAAAAUAGUGGAUCAUCUAUCCACGGCACCUGUUUCCCAGGGACAGAUCUUGAACAAUUUCAAAAAUUCUUGGCAACUCUGCUUUGGAGAUAAUUAUUAAGGGAUGGAUUAUGUAAAUUGUACAUAUCCUGUAUUAAGGAUCAGUGGAAUAAUGUGCCAGAGAAGCAGAAUGCCCUCUGAGAGUUUCCAGAGCUCACCAGAAGUGCACACACUGCAAUUCCUUUCACAGAGGCGGCAUACUCCAACACACACGUGGCUGGCUGACACAUCCAAAUGGCCUUAGCGCUAUCUCCUCCCUGCACUUCCCAUCCCCUUUGGGGCACAGUAGUUGGGCAGGUAGGGAGUAAUCCUUACACUUCUUAGUAUGUAGGGGUUGCAAUUUUGCCUGGCCUUUAUGCAGGUCAUGCUGGGUUGGGGAAGUCUCUAUCCCCUUCCCUUACACUGCACACCAAAAGGGCCAGGCAGAAUCUGGCAAUUCAACAAUUUUAAUAGUAUUGUUAGUUUAUUUAUUUGUAUUGUGAUUACACCUAGAGUCCCCAAUAUGCUAGUCAGUGUAUAAACACAUAACCACAAACCAGUCUCUCCCCAAGAAAUUUACAAACAUAAACCCAGUAUUUCAAAUAUUUUAAUUUGCCACCAUUUUAAUCAUAUGUCUAAUAAUAAUUAGGUCAGGUACAACCUAAAUACAAGAUUGAUCGCUAAUUUUUUCCUACCUUAUAAUGGGCAGUUUUUAAGUUUGCUAGCCCUUGUUUAUUGUCCCAUGGAAAAACUAUACAUUAUCAUUCAUAUAUUGACAUAUUUCACAAAUUUCCACUUUCUUUCUAGCUUAACUGAAAGAGCUCAACUACUGAAGAAUGUCUUUAAGAAGAGUCCUGUGAACUUGUACCGCUCUGAAUCUCUGCAGCAAAACUUGCUUCAUGGCUAUGCAUUCUCUCAAGAUGAAAAUGGAAUAGUUUCCCAAUCUGAAGUAAUAAGAGCUUAUGAUACCACAAAACAAAGACCUGAUGAAUGGUGAAGGAAUACAGCUUGCAACAGAGAGCCCUUAGAAUUACUUAAGUAAGACAAACUACUAGAUUUUUGCUAGGAUCUGCUAGCAGGAUCCAGUCACAAAGAUUACAAGAAGAUCCAUGAUGAUCUUAUUUCAUAAAGUUUGAAAGUGUAUUCAAUAGACAUGAGCACUGUGCAACUCUACUGUAACACACCAUCUCUUUGCAUUUUUCACAAGUAUUUGCUUUGUCUUUGUAAAAAGGGGUUGAAAAUUACCUUGUGUUUUGCCAGAUCACUUAUUUACAACGAGGCUGAAUCAGUAUUGUUCAUAUAUCAUAUUACUUGGGACGUCAUUAAUGGUCAGAUUACCACUAUACAUAGAUUAUUAACAUUUGUGCAGGUUUAUAAGUGGCUAUACAUUUAAAGUAAAGUUGGUAACAAGCUUUUGAUUUCAACAAGUGCUGACAAACCAACAUUUUAAUGGUGUUAACUCACCUUAUUAAGCAAGAUUUCAAACCAAGGUGUCUAUAGGUGUUUGGGUGAAACUAGCCUAAAAAAUAUGUUUGCCAAAGAAGUUCCAUAAUUGCAAUUCUCAAGAAUCUCUAGUAUCAUUUGCAGGGAAAUUUAAAAUGAAAUUAAUUUAAAGUCCUGAUGUCAGAAAUGCAUGCUUGAUUCUCCAUACUUGAUAAAAAAUACAGCAUAAUGAGCCUAAUUGGAGUUGCCUUUAUGGCACUAGCUUUCAAAUCUGUGAAACUUUGCACCUUUGGUCUGAUACAAGCUUUUUAUUUUUUAUUGUUUAAUAUGGCUGCCACUUUUUAGUAUGGUGCUCAUAUUUCUGAGUUUUGUUCAAAUUACAAACAAUAUGAAAAUUGCUCUGUCUUACCUUUCUUCAUCAUAAUUUUAGCCAUUUUUGCAAUGCUUGUGCUUUAUAUGCGCAUCUGGUCACAAUUUGAUCAGAAAAGUUUGUCCUAAUUCAUAAAGACAGAUUAGCUAUUUAUGGGCUUUUCACCAUCUUUAUUCUAGUUAUCUAGAACAUGACUUGUUAAAGCAAUGUAUGCCCUUUAGCCUGUGUGGUGUGUACUCUUCCAUUUGCACCAGAAUCACCUCCUACUAUGCACCCAAAUAUACUGAAGUAGUUCUUUACAGCUUAUCUGUAACAUAGCAAACCUCCAUACUCUCAGCUUUUAACAAAAAUGGAGGGAAAAUGCACAAAAGAAAACAAAAUUUUCCACAGUUUGCUCAACUCGGCAGUGUAAAAGUUACACUUCUCACCAGGAGUAACUGUAAUAAGAAAUUUUAAAAAAUGAAUUACAUUUGGCAUGUCUCUGCCCACUCUUAAAUGAUGGCCUAACUUCUUCAGAUGUUACGUUUAUUUGUGACAAUGGCACAAUCAGAGUCCAAUUUAAUUUUUUUUUUAAAUUUGUCUGUUUUAAUACUGACCUAAAGUCCACUAUAAUAAUUUAAUUUUAAUUUUAUUUUAUAUGGAGAAAAUGCUUCUUAAUUUUUAAAUUUUUCAUACUGCUAGGCUAAGUAAAAUAGAUACAGUUUUACUUUGAACAGCAGUUGUCUGAGAAUGGAACAGAAAUUUUCCCAUUCUCCUUUCAGGUUAUUAAGAACUUCAUUCUUAUCACUUUUUGUCCUCAAAAUCAUCCAAUCUAGGUUGUAAAUAACAAGCAGUAUAUCACUUAAGCUAUCCUACCAAUAAUUUCUUGACUAUUCAUAUACUUAUUAAGUAUAAAACUUUGUCCCCUGGCCUUUCAGCACUAUGCAGGCUUCACAUCUCACUUCACUACACUACGCAACUUCCUUACCUCUCAUUUUGAGAAAAUAUACAAAUCACAUCAUACAUCAAAGCCCCAGCAAGGAAGACACCAUAUGAAAGUACAUACUUAGGAGGACAAAUUGAUGGAACGGCCCUCCACAUUUCAUAUGUAUGUUAUGCAUUCUCUUCCUCUCCCUUUCCCUGAGUGAUCUUUAAACACAAGAGAACACAGAAGACACAGGGACAAAGAAAACGUAUUCCACUAGAAACAGCACUGUUAGUCAGUCAUGCAGAGAAGAACUGCCUUCAGAAAAGCCAUUUCAGGCAUAGAUAAAUAGAUGGAUCAAUAUGGGAGGGCCAUAUCACUUGACCUAAGGCAAGAAAAAAAAAUUGGGGGCAUGCCUCUUUCUUAAAAUAUGGAUCCCUAUUUUUGACAUCCAUCAGAGAAUGACUGACUUCAACAAAUUUCUUAAAUGACAUUCCUCAGUGACUUAACUAAUAUAAAACAAUUCUCAGUCCCUGCCUCUUUUUAAAAGUAAAUGCAUUUUUAAAAAUCCUUUUCAGUUGUAAAAGGCAUAAAUAUUGAUUUGGCAAAAAUUAUGCAAAGCAAAGCAAUGUAGUGUAAACCAUUGUAUUGUGAUGAAAUUUACAAGCAGCUUCACUUAUCCUGGGUUUACCUUCCUAUAAAAUAAAGCGUGCUAUAUUUACAAGAAUUCAGAAAAUUAAGAUGCCCAGCUACCUACAGUUGGUGACACAAAUGACAUGCAGUUUAGUCCCAUUCCACUUUUAUUUAUUGCUAAGAAGGUAGAGGGCUAUUAGCACAUCUUGCUGAGACCCUGGACUCAUAUUGGAAUUCUGGCUGGUGAUGUUGCAUUAUGUUAUAUAUUGCUCUAUUUCCAAAGCUGGUGUAAGCUCAUCAUCCUGUGUGUCGUCCUUGUGUGAUUUUACACAUUUUAAUUUUAAGUAGUGCCCCACAAAAUGUAUUUUGAGUUUGAGUUGGUAUAUGUACUUUUAUUCCCCAAUUGUAAGUCUGUUUUGGAUUUUUUUUUUUUACACAUACUAGAUGUUGCUUAUUGUCUGAUGGUAAUCAAUUGUGAGAUAAUAGUCCUGCUUAGAAAGUUAGUAAAAAAUGCUUUUUUACUGCUUAUACAGUUCCACUUCAAAAUGUGCCUGUGUAAAACAGAUUUUUUUUUUAAAUCAGUUCAGGUAUACAAUACACAGUUUAUUUGCACAUUGUUAAAGUGCAUAGAAAGAUAGUAUAUUAUUUAUUUAGUAUACCACGUGUUUGUUUAUUUGAGCCAUUGGUUAUGCAGGUAUUUAUUUUAAUGAAAAAAAUAGUUUAGUCAAAUUACAAUAGCUAAUCAUAAUGCAUUUAUUCUGAUCACUUAAACCUUUAAUUUUGUGUGAAUAAAGUCCAAUAUGGAAUUCACAUGGUAAUUUGCAGUCUGCCUUAUGUGCACUGCAUGACAAUUACAAACUAUCAUUAAAAAAUGUUCCUUCAAUUAAGCCAAAACAGUGCCAGUCAGAAAUCAAUCGAUCUUGUGUGCAUAUUGUUAUUUUAAUUACUUAUAAGAAUGCAACAGUUAUUCAAAAGGUUAAUUAAUUGUUAAGAAAUUUUAUUAAGCUUAAUCAUCAUUUGUAUUUGGACUUUCUUUUGCCAUUUCCUGAAUUUAGGCUUAUAUGUGGAAAGCAGCCUCAAUAGAUAUAUAAUAAAUCAUAUUUCUAUUUGUGUCAAAAUGACAGAGAAAAUAUUUUGAGACAGUAACAGAUUGCUAAAGAUUCCCAUAAACCCCUUAAAAUCCACCAUAUCACAAAAAAAUAUUUUACAAAAUGUCACAAGGAGCUUCCUUUGUUGCCUUAACCUUGAAUUAGAAUGUACAUUAAAUUGAAGGAAGGGAAAAUAGUGUUUUCCCAUUUUUUUUUUAAUCUUGAUUUAUAUUGUAUAAAAGCAGCUGUAAGUUUGGGCCCUUUGUUUUUUACGUAUUUUGAAUUAAACAUAAGCUUUUCCAUACAUUCAACAAUUAGUAAUUGCAAAGCUGUGAUCAGAACAUGUAAAGCUAAAAUCAUGUUUUAGUGUUUCUUUAUUCUAGACUAGAAGCCAUAAAUGCAUUAAUAUUGUUUUUCUCGUUUGACUUGAUUUUUCAUUAAGUAUUUCAGUGUUUCAUAAGUAUAAAUUGCUGUGAAAGACAGCUACUAUGUCAAAGCAAAGUUUGCGUUCAAGGUAAGGUAGGAUUUUCCAGCUCCACUGAACCAUUACUGCUGAAACUGUUGUGGAAAUUGUGAAGCUGCAUGAAUGGAGAGUUAUUGACUCAGUGUUUAUGGUAGUUUUUCUCAGGUUUAGUUUUAACUGGACAUUAAAUGCCCUGUGUGUUUUAUUAAAUUUUAGUAACGCUUUCAGUUCAAUGCAGUGUUACAUGUCAUUGGCAUUUUGUGAAUGUGCAUGUUUUGAACUGCAAAUUUUUAAUGUUUUGUCUUUUAAUUGUUAUUAUAAAAUUGAAUAAACUUUGCCAUUAAAUAAAAAAGAC
Molecule: long non-coding RNA, 5354 nt
Organism: Trachemys scripta elegans
Lineage: Eukaryota; Metazoa; Chordata; Testudines; Emydidae
Exons: 2
Source: RefSeq, a predicted model, not a curated record